AACCAGUAAAUUAAGUUAUAUAUUUUGGUGAAAAGACAGUUAAAUAGAUAAAUAAGUUUAAAAUAGUGCUGUAUCAAGGUGUAAUUUAUAUACCACUUUAGUAUAUUGUUAACUUAUGGUUAUUGAACCUGUGAAAACUUUAAGGGAAACUGGGAUUAGAUACCCCACUAUUUUUAGAUAUAAAUAUUUACUACCAGAGUACUACGAAUAAUUAUUUAAAACUCAAAGAGCUUGGCGGUAUUUUAGACCAUUCAGGGGAACUUGUCUCAUAAUCGAAAAUCCACGAUAAACCUUACUUUUAUUAGAGUUCUCAGUUUGUAUACCGUUGUCGCCAGGUAACUUCUAAUGAAUUUAAAAGUUAGCUAAAAAAAAUUAUGUUUUUAUGUCAAAUCAAGGUGCAGCCUAUAUAAAAGAGAAGAUGAGUUACAAUUAUAUAAUUAUAAAGAUGAAUAGGAUAAAGGAAAAUUUUACUUGAAGGAGGACUUGAAAGUAAAUUUUUUAAUAUAAAAAUAAAUUGAACAAGGCUCUAAAAUGUGC
RNAcentral lists this ribosomal RNA (537 nucleotides) under Raphitoma rubroapicata. Its description in RNAcentral is "partial 12S ribosomal RNA". The record is from RNAcentral. Lineage: Eukaryota; Metazoa; Mollusca; Gastropoda; Neogastropoda; Raphitomidae.